Non-coding RNA from Pelobates cultripes (western spadefoot toad), 240 nucleotides. NCBI's taxonomy places the organism in Eukaryota, Metazoa, Chordata, Amphibia, Anura, Pelobatidae. The record is from the annotation of a GenBank genome assembly.
CUUAUAUACUUGAGCCAGUUUGAAUGCAGGCUCAUUUAAAUGUGAGUAGGAUUUUCUACUAUUUAUAUAUACAUAUUUGAAAAUUGGGAUACUUACCAGUACUAUAUUGCCCUAUGUGAGCUUUAUUGUUUCAGGGGCAACUGGACAAAGAUCUUCUGGUAUAUGUUCUGGUAUAUAUCUUUCUCAUUCUAAAUUUGUGUAUAAACACUGUAAUACACAUUUCUGGACUUUUAGUGCGCU